GACGAGUGGCGAACGGGUGAGUAACNCGUAUACAAUCUACCUUUAACUGAGGNAUAGCCCAGAGAAAUUUGGAUUAAUACCUCAUAGUAUUAUNNUAAGGAAUCUUAUUAUAAUUAAAACUCCGGUGGUUAAAGAUGAGUAUGCGUUCUAUUAGUUNGUUGGUNAGGUAACGGCUCACCAAGNCUACGAUAGAUAGGGGGCCUGANAGGGUGAUCCCCCACACUGGUACUGAGACACGGACCAGACUCCUACGGGAGGCAGCAGUGAGGAAUAUUGCGCAAUGGAGGAAACUCUGANGCAGCCAUACCGCGUGUAGGAAGAAUGUCCUAUGGAUUGUAAACUNCUUUUAUACAAGAAGAAACCNCAGUACGUGUACUGGGCUGACGGUAUUGUAAGAAUAAGCACCGGCU
This 410-nucleotide ribosomal RNA is filed under the name uncultured Bacteroidota bacterium. RNAcentral's name for it is "uncultured Bacteroidetes bacterium partial 16S ribosomal RNA". It matches the Rfam family "Bacterial small subunit ribosomal RNA", at positions 90 to 498 of the family's 1533-position model. Lineage: Bacteria; Pseudomonadati; Bacteroidota. The record is from RNAcentral.